GCCUUCUGACGUUAGCGGCGAACGGGUGAGUAACACGUAAGGAAUCUGCCUAUGAGCGGGGGAUAACAUUCGGAAACGGGUGCUAAUACCGCAUAAUAUCUUCUUCCGCAUGGAAGAAGAUUGAAAGACGGCUCUGCUGUCACUUAUGGAUGACCUUGCGGUGCAUUAGUUAGUUGGUGGGGUAACGGCCUACCAAGACGAUGAUGCAUAGCCGACCUGACAGGGUGAUCGGCCACAUUGGGACUGACACACGGCCCAAACUCCUACGGGAGGCAUCAGUAGGGAAUCUUCCGCAAUGGGCGAAAGCCUGACGGAGCAAUGCCGCGUGAGUGAAUAAGGCCUUCCGGUCGUAAAACUCUGUUAUAAGAGAAUAACAAAUUGUAGAGUAACUGCUACAGUCUUGACGGUAUCUUAUCAUAAAGCCACGGCUAACUACGUGCCAGCAGCCGCGGUAAUACGUAGGUGGCAAGCGUUGUCCGGAUUUAUUGGGCGUAAAGGGAGCGCAGGUGGUUUCUUAAGUCUGAUGUGAAAGCCCACGGCUUAACCGUGGAGGGUCAUUGGAAACUGGGAAACUUGAGUACAGAAAAUGAAUGUGGAACUCCAUGUGUAGCGGUGGAAUGCGUAAAUAUAUGGAAGAACACCAAUGGCGAAGGCGACAUUCUGGUCUGUUACUGACACUGAUGCUCGAAAGCGUGGAGAGCAAACACGAUUAGAUACCCUGGUAGUCCACGCCGUAAACGAUGAGUGCUACGUGUUGGAGGGUUUCCGCCCUUCAGUGCCGCAGUUAACGCAUUGAGCAC
This 800-nucleotide ribosomal RNA is filed under the name Aerococcus sp. RS-BIG-35. RNAcentral's name for it is "bacterial SSU rRNA". It matches the Rfam family "Bacterial small subunit ribosomal RNA", at positions 78 to 867 of the family's 1533-position model. The record is from RNAcentral. Lineage: Bacteria; Bacillati; Bacillota; Bacilli; Lactobacillales; Aerococcaceae.